Molecule: long non-coding RNA, 28685 nt
Filed under: Prunus persica (peach)
Lineage: Eukaryota; Viridiplantae; Streptophyta; Magnoliopsida; Rosales; Rosaceae
Description: long non-coding RNA (PPER_LNC005430)
Source: RNAcentral
GGCCCUAGAUGUGCGUGCCGGAACCCAAGGGGCUCGCAUUUGGGCCCGAACUGGAUGCAGCUUUGAUGGAGCCGGACGUGGGAGAUGUCAAACAGGUGAUUGUGGGGGUGUCCUCCAAUGCCAAGCCUAUGGCCAACCCCCAAACACCCUAGCUGAGUAUGCCCUUAACCAGUACAACAACUUGGAUUUCUUUGACAUUUCCCUUGUUGAUGGCUUCAACGUCCCUAUGGACUUUAGCCCCACGUCUAAUGGGUGCACCAAGGGCAUCAGAUGUACCGCUGAUAUUAAUGGGCAGUGUCCUAACCAACUGAGGGCUCAAGGAGGCUGCAACAACCCUUGCACUGUGUUCAGGACUGAUAAAUAUUGCUGCAAUUCUGGGAGCUGUGGCCCAACAGACUUGUCUAGGUUUUUUAAGGAUCGGUGCCCGAGUGCUUAUAGCUACCCGAAGGAUGAUCCAACGAGCACAUUUACAUGCCCUGGCGGGACCAACUAUAGGGUUGUGUUCUGCCCAUGAAGCAGAUACAUCUUCUAGGUUUAUAAUAUCUAUGAAUAAGUCUGUGAUCAAAUAAAAUUAUGGUCUGAGCUGAGGGCUUGUACUCUCACACUUGAGUACAGUCAUAUCAUAAUUAACAUCAAAGAUGAAUGUAUCCUGCUUUGGAUUCAGAAUAUUUUUCUUAAUACUUGUCGAUUUUGCUUCAUUGGUUAUUGCUUUUUCUAUCACCGAAAGGUAUAUCUUCAGUGGCCAUUCCUGGAAAAUGGAUUCAUGGUCUCUCUAGGGAAGCUUCUCUUAUUUUCUUUAGUUUAUUUUUCAGAUUGUUUUUAGAGUGUCUGGUUCUAUCUAUUUUGGAACCCAAAUUGUCCCUUUAACUGUUUGGGCAGCAAAGUUUUGCAAACCUUCGAGUAUAAUAUUCCACUAAUUGUAGUAUUUAUUUUUACUUUGAUUGAAGGCGAAUGCCUGAUUUUGAGAAUUUCUUUUAUGCUCUUUGAGACUUGUAUAGCUAACCUCGUCACUGCUGGCUCCGCUCGGUGCUCUCUUAGUCAAGUCAAUACGUUACAAAGUUGUAUUUUUUACUUUGGCGCAUUAACCCAAAAGGAAAUCUAAACACAAACAUGUAUACGACUCUUAGGAAUAUUAGGAAAGGGGUAAUCAAGCACUUGACUUAGGAUAUAUGCAUAACUGCGCUUAACCAUUUGAGCUACAAACUCUUAUUAACGAUUAUCUAAGACUACUAAUAACAAUAUUCUCUUUCAUAUUAGGAAAAUGAUGAUUUUGGUCUCUCUACUUUGAAUGUGAUUUUCUACUGAGUCUCAUAAUUAAUUAUAAAAAAAAUUCAACAAUGGAACUCUAUUGAAUAAUGUUUCCUCGUUUAUAUCAUUUAUUUUAUUGUGUAUUUUUUAUGCAUCACGUGACAUAAUAUCGUGUAGCAAAUACAUCAAAAUUAUACAGCAUGUGCUAUUAUCAACAUCUAAACCCUAAACAUUUUGAGUAGUACAUGUAUUAGAUACACCAUAUAAGCAUGUCCCAUGUAUAAAGAAUACACUAUAUUUCCUUUUUCAUUUUUGUCAUUCCAAUUAAAAUCUAUAUAGAUUAAAUUUAUGGGACACCAUCAACAGGUUUGCCUACAGAGGGUUCUUCCGGCUACAUGUAUAUGGCCUUGCUCUUAAUCCUGCCACGAUUGAACUCCUUUUUAUGUAACUUGAUUGCAUGCCAUUUGUCAGAUUCGAAAGCACAUUUUAGAAAAUUUGUAUACUGAAUUCUGCAACAAAGUAUUGUUUCUUAGUGUCAUCACAUGUUUUCCGUGAGAAACCUAAUAAUGAUAACAUAUAAGGCCUGAAACAUAACGUGAAGGAUGAUUUUGUUGCCAAAUUCAGGUGGCUUUGUUUGCUGUGAUCAUCGAGGACGUGGCUUCAUCGAUCAUGUCAAGCCAAACUAAUCUUAUAAACGUGUAAAUGUUUGUGCUCAUAUGAACAUCAUCUCUGUAAUAUUUUGUACCAAUGUCAACCACGUCAUCACACCUCCCCGAGAAACCACCCCAACCCAAAACGGCAAACCUCUUUAUAUAAAACCCUACACAAGCUCAAACACUACAUAACCCAAUCACCAAAAUGAGUCUUUUCAUCAAACACUACUUACCCAUCACUUUCUUCCUCGCCAUCCCUCUCUACUCCAUCUUGUCCCAUGCAGCCAGUUUCAACAUCCGAAACAACUGCCCCUACACUGUCUGGGCAGCAGCUGUGCCAGGCGGUGGCAGACAGCUCAACCGAGGCCAAACAUGGACGCUAAAUGUGAAGCCUGGAACUAAAAUGGCUCGAAUUUGGGCCCGAACCAAUUGUGCCUUCGACAACUCAGGUCGUGGCCGGUGCCAAACCGGCGACUGCGGAGGAUUCCUCCAAUGCCAAGCCUAUGGUUCACCCCCAAACACCCUAGCCGAGUAUGCCCUAAACCAAUUUGGAAACAAGGACUUUUUCGACAUUUCACUUGUAGACGGGUUCAAUGUUCCAAUGGAAUUUAGUCCCACGUCUAAUGGGUGCACCAGGGGGAUCAAAUGUGCUCAAGAUAUCAAAACGCAGUGCCCUAAUGAGUUGAAGGCCCCAGGUGGCUGCCACAACCCUUGCACUGUGUACAAAACUGACAAGUAUUGUUGCAAUUCGGGGAGAUGUGGGUCUACAAAUUUAUCCAAGUUUUUUAAGGAUCGGUGUAGGGAUGCUUAUAGUUACCCUAAAGAUGAUCUAACUAGCACUUUUACUUGUCCUGGUGGGACUAAUUACAAGGUUGUGUUCUGUCCUUGAAUCACGUUGUUUCUCCAAGUUAUGUUGUGUGGCGUUUGUAAGAUGUGUACUAAUAUGAAUCCUUAAUAAAUUGUGGCCACGACAAGAGUUUGAUUUUCAUAUCUCCUGUCUUCAAAUUUACAGAUUUAAUUGCGUGGUUGGAACAUUAAUUUUUUUUUUUUUUUGAAUUAUACAUAUGCAACACACUAAAAUGAGUAUAAAAAACUGUUAAUCAAUAUAUGCUGUCAGAAAAUAAUUCAGUUCUGGUGGUACCUUUUUAUUUUAUCUCUUUCAAUCUCAUCAAAGCUUAUGUUGAAUUCAUCAUCAGCCGUUGCAUGAUCCUUCAAAAUUUCACAUUAGAGAAAAGAGAGCAAACGAGAAUCGAGGACAACCUCCCAGAAAAAGGACAUACACCUUGAAAUUCUGGCAAGUCAUCGUCGGCUCAUUUCUACUCUCCACCUCUUCAUGCAAGACUCUUAGACAAAUGGAAUUAUUAAUGAUCUACCACUCCAUUUUAGGUUCUUUCACUAUUAUUCCAUUCAAACGUGUGACAUAAUUAGUAUAUUAUGGACCCAAGAAGAAUUAAGCAAAUGGGAUGCAUGGAUAAAAUCUUCACGACAUUUUGGGGUUGGUCUGGGGUUCAAAUCGAUCUCUAUCUUUUCUAGUUUAAUUCCGUCUUGUAGCUUUUUCGAGAAGCAAUCAUUUCGACCAUAUCCUUUUGGUCCAUCAACCAUAUAUAUAUGUUCAUUGGAUCCAACUUUGACAUUCAAUUUGCGCUUUAUUCUGUGCAAUCUUAUCAUUUUAUAUGCUCAAAACAUGCGUCGCAACAAUUUCUAUUUUUUAUAUUUUAUAAAAGCAACUUUUUUCCCGGUCUAGUUAAUAAUGCAAUAUUCUUGGUCCCUCUCCACAUGCAUUCGUUUGUGAAUCUAGUUUUUAUUUCCUUUAUAGUAAAAGUUCAUCUUCGUUUUUUACCCCUCAUUUUUCCUUUUAGAGAAUCAUAUAGGUUUCAUUUUCAGUCUCGACCAAAUGGGUAGACGUAGACUGCUACACUAAAAAAAGGAGAAAAUACAAAAACAUAAAAGAAAAUUGAAUCCAACUGAUUACUGAAAAGUUAAUACUUUUAAAGUUCUUUUUUUAAAAGUUACGGUCAAUGAUCGCUGUUUUUUCAAAGCAAGGAUAACCCAGCUUUUAAAAGCUGUUUUAAAAAAAUUGGUUUUAUUUAUUUAUUUAUAAUCACAAAUGAUAUACCUAUAUUUUAUUUAAAUAAAUAUUUAAAUUUAUAUUUUUCAUAAGUACAUUAUUGGAUAUGUAAUUUACACACACACAUAUAUAUAUAUAUAUUUUUCUGGUUUCCAAUUUGAGGGGCGAUAUGUUAGAGGGAAUGGCAACCUAAAGAAAUAGGGUGAUUGAUAUGCUACUAAUAGGGAGUAUUAAUUACAAUUAUGACAGUUAAUGAAAUGUUUGAAAUAAAUUAUAAAUAAAAUAUGAAGUCUUGUGGCAACGAUGUAAAAACACAGGAAUACUAUGACCUCUUAUAUCCUACUGGUCAUUUAAAUUUAAAAUUGAGUUUUACACAUAAAUUUAUAGAGUAAUGGAUAUAUGUUUAGAAAAUAAAAAAUGUAAGGACUUAUAUUGGACAAGCCCUGAAAUAUAUUAAUACUUACUAAUAUGUUAGUUUAAAAUAACUUUUAAUGGUUGUUGUCUUUCGUACAAAUAAUGCUCAGCAUCAACACAAAUAUUUCUCGAUUUAUAUAAGAUAUUGGAGUGAACUAAAUAUGGUUGGCAACUGAGAGAAUGCCAACCUAUCAAGCUUUUUGAUAAUCCACAGUUGAUAAUUGUUGGUAUCUCUCAAAUAGGGAAGACAAACGAUAAUUUACUAGAGCUUGCCAUGGCACUUUUCCUGUGAAGGUAAUUCAAAAGUUUUUGCUUCAUAGAAUAUUGAUUCAAUCUAUUUUCCACUGUUUGUGAUAAGGAACACAAGUCUCCUCGACAAAAUAUAGCCCACAAAAAUGAAGUUUGCUUUUUCUGAGAAAAUCCAAUUAGAGAUUGUGGUAUGCCAAGCAUCUUGCGCAUUUCAACAUUAUCAUACACUCGUUGACUGAUUCAACUAGUUAUCUGGAAAUUUAUUUGUAGUUAGAAUUCGAUCCAUGAGGAGCCUAUGAAAUUUUAACAUCUGUUUGGAAAUUUGUCUUUCUAAAGUCAUGAUGAGCAUAUUAUAUUUUAAGAUCUGGAAUAUGCCAACAUUGACUGGCACAUAGUGAGGAUCUAGAAAGGUCUAAAAUAUUGAUGAUAUCGGAAAUAUCGGUAGUUCAAAAAUAUGGAAAUUUCGAUGGAAAUAUCGGGAUAUUAUCGAUAUUGAUAAAAAUUGAAUAAAAACCAUGGAAAUUGUAAGAAAAACUUGGAAAUUUUUAUUAAAACUUUGGAGAAUGUCUAUUUAGUCAAUUAUCUAUGAGUUUAUCACAAAAAAUUAGAAGGAAAUGCAUUGCAUGAUGGAUUGAACUAAUAUAAGUUGAUUAUACAGCAAGCGGGCAAACACUAUGAGUGUAAAAAAUAUGUAAUAAUUAAUAAAAAAAGAUUCAAUACACCGUAAUCAUUCAUAUAUAAUGAUUUACUAUAAUAUUUUACACUUUAUACAUUGCAUGGUAAGAUACAUAAAUGACUUAGUACCACAUAGAGUUCCUACGAGGUUCAAAUUUUUCACUAUCUUCAUCAUCUCUAUGUGUAGAGUAAGUGUAUUGUGAAGAGUAGUCAUCAAAUGAUAAAUCCCCAAAAUAGUUUUGCAUGUAAUUGUUAACAUACCACCCAUAUAAAUAUAAAUAUUUUAGCAUAUUAUCACAAAAACAUAAGUGAUAUGGUGUUUAAGGUGUUGGAGGAGUAAAAUGGGAGGGGUUCAUAUCCCUUUUGUGCUUUUUUCUCCCCUUUUUCCCUUUUUUUUAAUUUUUUUAUUUUUAUUAAAACUUUUUUUUUCCUUCACAUCGAUAUUUUCGAUAUUUUAGCGAUAUUACACCGAUAUUUUGACAAAAUAUUGCUGAAAUGUGAGCGAAAUUAUUGACAUCGAUAUUUUCCGAUAUUAUCGUCGAUAUUGUCGAUAUUUAUACGAUAUGUACAUGGAUAUGUUCCGAAAUAUCCGUGAUUCAAAAAAAUCGAAAUAUCCUCAAUAUUUCUUCGAUAUUAUCGAUAUUUCAGACUAUGUCUGGAACGAACAACCACUCAAAAUUAAAAUGCUAAUUAGAUUUUUAUUUAUUGUUAUUACUAGAAAACUGACGUGUAGGGAAAUUAUUGUAAAAAGAAAACAAAAAUGUGAAGAUAAGGGUAAGCACGUGUUCCCAUUUGGGUUGCGAAACUUCCACACAAAAAACCAAUACCAUUUGGGACUCUUUGGGAUCUUUUUCCAAUGGCAUUAAUUAUAUAUAUAAUACACACACUUUGGGUCCUUUUCAACUAAACUAUAUCCGAUUGACAUAAUAUUGGCCCUAUUUCCAUGUGUGCAUGGAAGAAUGAGCUAAGAAACGGACGUCAUUUUUCAAAAUUAUGUACGUCAUACACUGCCCCUUGCCCAUUACCCCGCUCUAUAUAACCUUAAGACACCUUCUCACAGUUAUUAAAAAAAAACACCACCUCCAAAAUGAGUAUCCUCAGAAACCUCCUAGUCUUCUGCAUCCUAUGUGCCACUCUCUUCUUUGCAUCAACCAAUGCAGCUCAUUUCGAUAUCCGAAACAACUGCCCCUUCACCGUCUGGGCAGCCGCCACGCCAGGCGGCGGACGCCAACUUAAUAGAGGCGAAAAUUGGGGCAUAGACGUGGCUGCCGGAACCAAAGGGGGUCGCAUUUGGGCCCGGACCGGAUGUACCUUUGAUGGAGCUGGACGUGGGAGAUGCCAAACAGGUGAUUGUGGGGGUAUCCUUCAAUGCCAAGCCUAUGGCCAACCCCCAAACACCCUAGCUGAAUAUGCCCUUAACCAAUUUAGCAACUUGGAUUUCAUUGACAUUUCCCUUGUUGAUGGCUUUAAUGUUCCCAUGGAAUUUGGUUCCACGUCUAGUGGGUGCACUAGGGAUAUCAGAUGUACGGCUGAUAUUAAUGGGCAGUGUCCUGGCCAACUGAGGGCUCCAGGAGGCUGCAACAACCCUUGCACUGUGUUCAAGACUAAUCAAUAUUGCUGCAAUUCUGGGAGGUGUGAACCUACAGAUUUAUCUAGGUUUUUCAAGAUGCGGUGCCCGGAUGCUUAUACACUACUACAAAAAAGCAAAAAGACGACGGUAAAUCACCGUCGUGUAUUUGGUUUUUCAAUGGUCGUGGAAUCCACCGUCAUCUUUUCCCUCAUAAACCACGACGCUAAAUAACCGUCGUUGUUAAACAAUACAACGUCAUCAAAAAAUACAAAACGACGUCUUUGUACUGCAAAAGAUCUAAAAAAAGCAAUCGAUGAUGAUAAUAGACGACCAAUUCUCUAAAAAGACCGUCGUUAAAAAGGGAAAAUAUGACACAUAUUAAGAGAACAAGGCCGCAAGAUAGACAUACAACGACGACAAUAAAAAUACGCCGACGUUAAAUAUAAUUUUCACGACAAUAAAAAAUAUGACGUCUUUAAAUACAUUAGAAGACGACGUUAUUGAUACCUACUACGUCGCACAUAUAAACACAACCGUCGUACAAUUAAUUUUCCACUUCGAUUUUUUGAUAAAAGAUGACGUGGAAAUAGUUGUCAGUGUCAUUAUUUACGACGUAUGUGUUUCUAUAGUAGACGUUGAAAAACUAAACAACGUCAGUUACAAAUAUAUGAGAGUCGUAUUAAAAAAUUUAUACGUCCUAUUUUCAGAAACAAACAACGACCAUAAAUAUUAGACGUUGUUAAAUACAACAACGUCGGAAAACAAUAAAAACAGACGUGUUUAGUCUGCUAAAGUUCUACAACGUCUCUUAUUUACAAAAAACCGUCGUGAAAUAAAUUUUCCACUUCGAUUUUAUCUAAAAAAGAUGACGUGGAAAUAGUUGUCAGUGUCAUUAUUUACGACGUAUACAUUUAUAUAGUCGACGUUGUAUUUAUAUGUAUUCAUUACUCACGACGCACUUAAUAAUAUAGACGACGUUGAACGUCUAAACAACGUCGGUUCCAAAUAAAUGAGAGCCGUAUUACAGAACAUAUAGACGGCGUAGAUUAUGAUGGGAGCCGUAUUACAAAUAACGUCGUUUAAUUGUUAUUAGACGGCGGUUAUAAUGAAUUUCCGUCGGAAUUAAUUUCGUUCCUCUUCGUUUAUAAAAGAACUUGCGACGUGGAAAAUGUAUGAUGACGUCGUAUUUUUUAACGUUCAGAUUACAUAUCUCGUUUUUUAGACGUCGGUAUUAUGGGAUUGGAGUCGUGUUAUUUUGAAUUACAUGGCGGUUCUUUAUCCUUCACCGACGUGAUAUCCUGAAUAAUUGCUUCACAAUAGCGUCGUGGUUCUUCAUUGUUACGUUGCUUUAAGACGUCGGUAAAUAUGCUGAAUAACUGAUUCACAAUAACGUCGUGUUUUAUUUGAACGUAGAAAGUGAAGAAAUCACAUUACAAUAUAUUACAAAAUUAAUGUCAUACACUGCCAAUUACAUAAGCAUCAUUCAAUCCAUAUAUCUUCACACCCAUCUCGAAUAUUUUGACCGCCUAACUCACCUACCAGUUCAUCAAAUGUGUCAACAUUUGGCAUCCCUCUAGUAAAUGGCUCACACUCAAUUAUCACAUCACCUAAUACUUCAUCACCAAUAACAUCAUUAUAUUCUCUACUAGGCAUUGAUAACACUACCGACCAACCACGAUGCAUCGGGUCGUCAACAAAAAAUAUUUGUUUGACUUGAGAAGCCAAAACAAAUUGGUCAUUCCUAUGUCCAAUUUUACUCAAAUCUACAAGGGUAAAUCCAAGUUCGUCGACUACAAGACCAGAACUAUCUAUCCAAUCACACCUAAAGACUGGGAUUGUAAACUUUUGGUAGUCAAGGUCCCAAAUUUCUUGAAUGACACCAUAGAAACCCAUAUUUGAGAGAAUUGGGUUUUUAUCCUUGGCACUAGCAACUUGCAUGGUAUGUGCAAGUAAAUAAACUCCACUAUUUUGAGUUGUCCGCACAUCAUCUUGUGCCUUGAUAUUGAAUUUAAUACCUUUAAUAAGAUAGCUCCUAUAUAAUGGCACUGACAUGUUUGGACCAGCUGCUAGCCACCUUAAAUUUUCUGAUACGCCAUGAUUGUCUUCCUCAACUUCACUUUGAACCUGCAAAUUAAUCAUAUCUUAAUUCAUCCUAACAUAUAAAUAAGAAGAAAAUUAAAAGAGAAAUACGUUAUUCAACAACAUAUACCUUGAAGCGUAGCCAUUGAAUGAAAGUGCUAUUGUGCUUAUCCUGCAGCCACUUUGUUCUCUUUCUAAAUUUUGGAUAAGCAGUCUUGAUGUGGAUCAUAUGUUGCCUACAUGACACGAAAAAUUCAAGCAUUACGGUCCCAAAUAUAUAAGAUAAACAUAAGAAAUAAUUUUAAAUGGAAACUUAAAGAAUAAAACUCAUACGUACUCGAUAUAACUUCACUAAUGCCGAUAACUUCGUGUACUUUCUACAACCAGGGUACACUGGUUGAUCUCCAUCCCCAAUCACAUUGGCAAACUCAUACGGAUCCGAACCAAAAUCACCAAAAUCAUUAUCAUCCAUAUCAAUUUCUUCAGACACAAAACUGUACCUACUAUGGCCAUCAUCUUCUUCAACAUUUCUGCUAGCAUUAGUAGUUGCUUCCCAAGGUUCUCCGUGAAAUGUCCAAUUCUUAUAGCUUUGGUCAAUUCCAUUAAAGUAUAAGUGAUCCCUUAUAAUUCCAACCCCAAACAACUUCAAAUUAACACAUUUAACACAUGGACAACGGAUAUGUGUUGUAGUUAGAAGAUUUUCUACAGCAAAGUUCAAAAAUGCUUCCACCCCAAACUCAUAUGCCUUCGAUCUUCUAUCCGAGUGCAUCCAUGACUUAUCCAUCUCCGACACUAUAACCUAUUAUCUAUAAUAAAGUGAAAAUACAGGCAAUGACCAUCACUAUAGCAGAUUAUACAAUGAUCUAAUCGCAAGUAAUAAACAACAGAGACGACGGGUUUUAAUCAAAAACAGACGUAUUUGGCAUAUAUAGACGACGGAUUUUCAACAGACGUCGUCUAUUAUACGUAAUACAAACGACGGUUUAUGAAAAAACCGUCGUGUAUAAGUAAUACAACGACGGUAGUUUAAAAACACCGUCGUGUAAUCGUCGUCGUACGCCUUAAAAUUCGUCGUGUCUCAGUUUAUUUUCAAGAACACAAAACCCAUUAAGAACACAACAUAUAUAUGAAACCAAGCAAGAAACCAACANNNNNNNNNNNNNNNNNNNNNNNNNNNNNNNNNNNNNNNNNNNNNNNNNNNNNNNNNNNNNNNNNNNNNNNNNNNNNNNNNNNNNNNNNNNNNNNNNNNNNNNNNNNNNNNNNNNNNNNNNNNNNNNNNNNNNNNNNNNNNNNNNNNNNNNNNNNNNNNNNNNNNNNNNNNNNNNNNNNNNNNNNNNNNNNNNNNNNNNNNNNNNNNNNNNNNNNNNNNNNNNNNNNNNNNNNNNNNNNNNNNNNNNNNNNNNNNNNNNNNNNNNNNNNNNNNNNNNNNNNNNNNNNNNNNNNNNNNNNNNNNNNNNNNNNNNNNNNNNNNNNNNNNNNNNNNNNNNNNNNNNNNNNNNNNNNNNNNNNNNNNNNNNNNNNNNNNNNNNNNNNNNNNNNNNNNNNNNNNNNNNNNNNNNNNNNNNNNNNNNNNNNNNNNNNNNNNNNNNNNNNNNNNNNNNNNNNNNNNNNNNNNNNNNNNNNNNNNNNNNNNNNNNNNNNNNNNNNNNNNNNNNNNNNNNNNNNNNNNNNNNNNNNNNNNNNNNNNNNNNNNNNNNNNNNNNNNNNNNNNNNNNNNNNNNNNNNNNNNNNNNNNNNNNNNNNNNNNNNNNNNNNNNNNNNNNNNNNNNNNNNNNNNNNNNNNNNNNNNNNNNNNNNNNNNNNNNNNNNNNNNNNNNNNNNNNNNNNNNNNNNNNNNNNNNNNNNNNNNNNNNNNNNNNNNNNNNNNNNNNNNNNNNNNNNNNNNNNNNNNNNNNNNNNNNNNNNNNNNNNNNNNNNNNNNNNNNNNNNNNNNNNNNNNNNNNNNNNNNNNNNNNNNNNNNNNNNNNNNNNNNNNNNNNNNNNNNNNNNNNNNNNNNNNNNNNNNNNNNNNNNNNNNNNNNNNNNNNNNNNNNNNNNNNNNNNNNNNNNNNNNNNNNNNNNNNNNNNNNNNNNNNNNNNNNNNNNNNNNNNNNNNNNNNNNNNNNNNNNNNNNNNNNNNNNNNNNNNNNNNNNNNNNNNNNNNNNNNNNNNNNNNNNNNNNNNNNNNNNNNNNNNNNNNNNNNNNNNNNNNNNNNNNNNNNNNNNNNNNNNNNNNNNNNNNNNNNNNNNNNNNNNNNNNNNNNNNNNNNNNNNNNNNNNNNNNNNNNNNNNNNNNNNNNNNNNNNNNNNNNNNNNNNNNNNNNNNNNNNNNNNNNNNNNNNNNNNNNNNNNNNNNNNNNNNNNNNNNNNNNNNNNNNNNNNNNNNNNNNNNNNNNNNNNNNNNNNNNNNNNNNNNNNNNNNNNNNNNNNNNNNNNNNNNNNNNNNNNNNNNNNNNNNNNNNNNNNNNNNNNNNNNNNNNNNNNNNNNNNNNNNNNNNNNNNNNNNNNNNNNNNNNNNNNNNNNNNNNNNNNNAAGUGAUUUUAUGACUCAUCAAAACAAUUUGUUUGGAUGGUCAUUUUAAAUUUUGUAUUCAAAAUGAAUUUUCAAGGUUUAUGUGGAAGAAAAUAUAUCAAUGACUUCAUAGGAGUUGACUUUUCAAUUUUCUGAUUUAUUUUAAAUUUAUUUUGAAUAUUUUGAUAUAAAAAUAAUAAAAUAUUCUUACCACAACAACAAACCACGUCGGUGUUAAUAAAUUGUAGACGUUGUAAAUUGUAAUAGACUACUAAGUCGUUAAAAUGACGUCGUUAAAAUGAGAAACCAUGGCGGCUAUUUAACUAUACGACGUAAAAUAUAUAUAUCAACGACUUAACCGCUGUCGUUACAUAAACGUCGUCGAUGAUACCCUGAACCCUUAAGAAAUUGAAGAUGUUGUAAACCAUAAACGACUCAAUUGUUCAAAGAACGUCGUCUAACUAUAUUUUUACGUCGUAAUUGUUUAAAACACGAAACAACAAAAUACGACGGUUUGUGACUUUAUUAGGUCGUUGGAAAAGUAUUACACGUCGGUUAAGCAAUUUGUAUGUUUGUUUUUUUUUUAAUUUAAGAAAACCUCAACAAAUUUUUACAUUACAUAUUAUAGAGAAAAUUUGUACAUUAUACAUAAAUAUCAAGUGUUCAAUAAUUGCCCUGUUUAAUAAUUUGGAAAACAAACUCUGCCCAUUCAUUCCGGACUUCAUCAAUGGCUUCUUGGGGGUAUGAAGCUUCCUGGUUUCCCUUGGCAUACUGCAUAAACAAUGACUAUUAGGGUUUAUAAAUAAAAAGAAAUUCAAUCACAGACGACGAUAUUUUUCAUAACCGACGUAGUAUAUCCAUUCAACGACGUUAAUUUUACAUGACCGUCGUUGAUAAUACAAAAAACGACGUGAAAUGUAUGAAGGUAAUUUCUUCUUACCUUAUUCUCAAACCCCAAGGAAGGAUCCAUGAUGAUGUCCCUCAUGAAGCGCAUCACAUAAUACCCGCAUUCGACAUUGCUGGGUUGCUUUGGUGUGCCUGAGAGAGUUUUCCAAAUUACAUUUUUACGUCCUGCUCGGCCUAUGUGGGUAUUAUAUAUUUUUAAAGCACUGUUCACGAUGUUUUUCGCCUCUUCGUCGACCACACGAUGACCUGGCAGAGGAUCCAGAAAAUAGACGGUCUCCUUCUUUGCUCUUACAAUCAGCAGGAUCCAAUGACGGCUGCACAAAAUUAAUAUAAAAACGACGGUUAUUUACAAAAACGACGUAUUAUAGUAUUUCACACGACGAAAUAAAGUAGAUAACGACGACAUUAUAUAUUUAUCACGACGACAAAUAAAUACCGACGUGGUUAGUAGUUUCAAACGACUAAAUAAAAUAAAACACCGACGUGGUUAGUUUAUAAGCUGUCAUUUAUUGAAAAUCAUAAAAACAAAAUCCUAAGGAGACUAACCCUGGAUUGUAAGGCAUCAUGAAAAGCUGUUCACCGUCUGUCUUCUGAAGUCGAGCUGCUACCAGUCGUGAUCUUUCAGUUAUUGUGCCAGAGUUGGCACUAACUGUAGCAGGGUCAAUAAAGCCAACCAUGCUGCACAUAUUGGCUUGUUUCAAAACAUCGUGUAAGUACCUAAAUACAUAAAAUAAUAUAAACAAGUCAGCACAAACAAACACGACGGUUAUGUAUAAAAAAACGACGUAUUAUAAUAUUUCACACGACGUACUGAAAUAGAUGAGGACGUUAUAAUAUAUUUAUCACGACGGUAGUUAGUUAAGACGACGUGGUUAGUUAGUUAAGACGACGCAAUAUAUAAACCAACGAGGUAUUAUUUUAGAAGUACAAACCUCAUAUAUACAGCCAAUACAGUAGCUCCAAUUUCUUCCAUGCCUGCAAAUUGUGUAAUAUCUUCAGGCAGGAGGAAGGUAUCGCGCUCACCACCAAACACCUCCUUAUCAAUUGUAAAUUGGAGUGUCUUAUCCUCAGGCAGGAGUGUCGUUUCCACAAAACGACAAAGGGUUUUUAAAGAAGAUGGCGCCUCCAUAUUUGAAUAAGCACCAACUUCAAUAACCUGUUUAAAGAAAUAAAAAAAAUGACGUGGUAAUUCAAUAAAGACGACGGUUUAAGUAAUAAAACGUCGUCUUAAAAGUAUUUAAACGACGGUGAAAAAACUGUCGUGGUAAUUCAAUAAAGACGACGGUUUUAUGAAUAAAGCGUCGUCUGAAACCAUUUAAACGACGGUGCAAAAACCGUCGUUUAAAUAUUUUAUUACGUCUUAAAAAAAUUCCGCCGUCUAAGUUUUAAACAAACGACGGAUUAAAUAAAAAUAUCGACGUCUGAAAUUUUGAAAAACAAAUAAAAAAGGCAAAGUUAUGUGAACAUACCUUGUCGUCAUGCUUUUCUUCAUCUUCUUUCUCCUUUUCUUCUUCCUUCUCUUCAUCUCUUUUUUCUUCUUCCUUCUCUUCAUCUGGCUGAUGUUUCCCCAUUUUGGCAGUAUCAUCCUCCAAAUGUAGGGAUCUCACAUAACCUCCAGAGCAGCUAGCUUUGUCAGACAUUGGAUUUUUGGGGCUUUGGCUAAUUCUUGGUUUAAGCAUGCUUGGAUCAAAAUUGGGAAUUAAUUGGGAAAGCUGACUCAGGAAAUGCUCCCUCUCAGCCUCUACCAAUUGUUUUGUCCUAGCCUCCAUCCUUAAGGCCUCUUCCCUUGCCUUAGCCUCCAUCUUUUUAGUCUCUUCUUGAAGGAGAACUCUUAAACUGUCCUUCAAACGGUCGUCAAAGCUCACCCUCUGUGGUUUGGGCAAAUUGAAAUAUUGCCUUGGGGAAACACCAGCACCAACUCCCCUCAGUCUGCCUGGAUGCUCGGGGCCCAAAGCCAUGGUCAGCACAUCAUUGCUGCCAUCUACUCUGACUUUGCCUUCCGAGACUUGUUUCUGCAAUUCAUCCUAAAAAAAGAUAAACAAAAAAACACACGACGGUUAUUUAUGUACAAACGACGUAUUAUAUAAUUUCACACGACGCAAUAACGUAUAAACCGACGUUAUUAUAACUUAUCACGACGGUAGUUAUACCGACGUGGUUAUUUAUUUAAAACGACGAAAUGAAUAAACAACCGACGUCUUAUGCUAUAAUUAAAGAUAACAGAGUAGUGAUUCCUAUUUAGACCGUUAACGACGUUUUUAAAAAAUUUUCGACGUGGUAAUAUCAUUCACACGACGCGAAAAUGAACCACCGACGUCUUAUGCUGUAAUUACAGAAAACAUAGUAGUGAUUCCUAUUUAGACCUUUAACGACGUUUUUAAAAACUUUUCGACGUGGUAAUAUCAUUCACACGACGAAAAAUAUAACAUACGACGUAAUAAGAAUAAUUCACAGUUUAAUAAAAAUUUAAAACAGAGUGAUAGUAGGCUUACAAUUAAUUUUGCUUUCUCUGCCACCUUUGGAUCAGGGAUGUUACCAUGUUUGUCCUGUCUAGCUCUCUUCCAUAAGGUAGAUCGAUCAAUUUCUACCCCAGGCAUGGUUUCCUCCAAUUGAUCCUCCAAUCCAGCAUAUCCUUUUCGAGACAAUCGAUGAUUGUACUCGAGUUUCUCCCUAAUCUGUGCAUGUUGAGAAUGCACAGACUCAAAAUCUUUGGAUAGCCUUGAAGCUACAAAGGCAUCCCAUUGUGCUUUCUCUAUGAAUUUAUAUGUUUCAGGGGGUUGGCUUAAUUUCUCCCUGUCAUUGGUGUAUGGAAGGAUAUAAUGCCUCGUUAGUGUAGACUUGAAAUCCUUCCAUUUCUUGGAAGCAGAAGCUAAAACAGAGGUCUUGCCCCCUUGGCCUACGACAAAAGCCAUGUCAACUGCUUCCCAAAUCUGCUCCUUUAUAUCCUUGGGGAUUUGGGACCAUUUCUUGUCCACAAGUGGGAUCCUGGAGCGUGCCAACACACCAAUAUACGACUGCAUCUCAAUAUGUGCUUGGCCAACACCUUUCCCCCUUUUAUUGUACUCAACAAUUGGCCUCAGUUUCUGAAGCUUUCUCUUCACAACACGAGGCAUUGUGCUCAUACCUCGACCAGUCUUUGAAUCAUCUGAGAUUGUUGUCUGGCUGGUUUGUUCUGUCUCAGCAGAUGAUGAAGCAAACUUCAUCUUCUUCGAAGACUUCAUCUCCUUCGAAGACUUAUCUUGAGGAGCUACCAUUCCAAGCUUCUUGGAGCCAGAAUCCUUAGUUUGUUGUUGAGAAACCAUUUUAACAGACAAAACUGCAAGUGAAAAUAUUUCAGGAAAACAUUAAGAACACAAACGACGGUAUUAAAAAAAUACGACGUAUGAUAUGAUUUUAGACGACGCAAUGAAAUAAUCUCAGACGUAAUAAAUGUUUAAAACCAUUAUUUAUAUAACGUCGUGGUAUAUAUGUUCACACGACGUCAAUAGUAAUACACCGUCGUGGUAAACUAUUAUUUAUAUUUUAUCGUCUAUAUUAGAUACCAACCCUAGUUUCUUUUUCUUUAUAUUUUAUCAAAUAAGGGAAAAACAAAAACCAUUGUUCAGCGAAAUCAAACCUGCAAUUAAACAAGCAUAUAAAAAAAGACUAUUAUUUUAAAAACAACUUUGUCAAUUUUCAGACGACGCUAGAACAACUGACGAACCGUCGUGGUCUACCGUCGUCUUAUUUAGUUGAUGUAGUUGUCUUCAAAGUUGGAAACUUUCUCUCUUUGUCUGUAUAUUUUAUCAAACUUGGAAAGAAGUAAAAUGAUUUUGGCCAGAAAAAAGGUAAAAAGAUUUUUCAAACAAAAAACGUAUGAGCAUGCAAAACAGUAACCAAAAUAGUGAAAAUGAAAGCUUACCUUUUGCGUGCAAUGAAAGCAAGAGGAAGAUGAUCGAUGUUUAAGUUCAGAGACGACGAAGAAGACGAGAGGAAGACGAUGAGAAACUCUGACAAUGCUCUGACAAGGAAAAAAGACGAAAAGGUUUCUCUGGGAGAUUGAAAUUUUUAAUCGGGUUUGGAAACAGUGCAUGUGUAAGUCGAAAAGUUGCUUACAUAUAAAACCAUUUCAAAAAAAUAAUACGGCGGUUACAUUUAACUACGUCGUUUUUAACUAAAACGACGCAAUAUUUUUCAUUCGACGUGGAAUCAUUUCAUUUAACGUCGUUAGGUUUAAUAUAACCGACGUGGAUUUUAAUUUUUAAAUUAUGAAUAGAAUUUUUUUUCCCGUGACCUUUCAGUUUAUUUUUCAAUUACAGUGCGUUAUAAAUAGAGUUUUUUUUCCGGAGGAAAUUUAAAACGAAGGAAAUUAAUAUUCUGCAAUAUGUAAAGUUUCUUUUUUGGAUGACAGAUUUAAAUAAAAUAAAAAUAUAAAAACAACAAAUGUGUAAGUCAAGUAGACGAAAAGUUGCUUACAUAUAAAACCAUUUCAAAAAAAUAAUAUGGCGGUUACAUAUAACUACGACGUAUAAAUUACAAAAUACGACGGUACAUUUAACUUCGGACGUGGUAAAUAAAUACGACAGUAGUUUGUAGGUACCGUCGUAGUAAACUCAAAAAUUAAAGUACAUAAGUAAUAACUCGCGUCAUGGUAUAUUAUUUAACACGUCGUUUUUAUUAAUUUACCGACGUGGAUUUCUGUAAUAUACGUCGAUCAUACCGACGUUGAUUUUACAAUUUAAACGGCGGUUUGUUUGUAAGGACCGCCGUUGGUUUUAAAAAUUUAUUCUAUAAAUUUGUCGCUUUCAUUCAUUUUCGGUUUACAUUUAAGGUUCCAAGUUCUUCCUCUCUCAGUCUCUCAUGUCUCAAAGAUAAUAAUUUGGAUGUUUUCUCAAAGAGAAAUUGAGCUUACUCGCAUCAAAUAUAUGUCCACAAGAAGAAGCUUGUCAACUAGCCUUCUCACUUCCUUGAUCAAGCCUGAUAGGACACUUAGUGCUUCUGAAUACUCCUUGCUUUCCAUCAAAAGAGAUGCAAGCCUGGCCUCCACUCGCUGUCGAAGGAAAGUUCGCUUCUCAGGGAAAUCUGAAGAUCAGAUGUGCCUGAUCCUCUGCUUGAUUUUCUUGCCUAAGAAGAUCCGUCGGAUUUAUUGUGAUAGCCUCUUCCUUUAUCCGUAGAGCUUCAGAAGAAGAAGAUGGGUUUCAAGAAUGCGAUAAAGAAUAGAAAUGGCUUCAGAUGGCCUCUAAAGCAUGAGCAAUUGAAUCAGUAGUUUCUGGGAGAUAUGAUGAAGACAUUGUCAAUGCUUUGAACUACACAAGUCCUGCAGAAAGAUAUGUUAAAGAAACUGAAACAACGGCGGUUUUCUGUUCUACCGUCGUCUUUUCUCGUCGUCUAUAUUAAGUUACGAUGGCGGUAGAUUUAUAAUUACCGACGUAGAUUAUUUUGUUAAACGUCGUUAAGUGUACUACAACCGACGUGGAUUUUAAUUUUAAAUUAUAAAUGGAGUUUUUUUUCCCGUAUUCUUUCAGUUUUAGUUUUCAAUUCCAAAGCGUGAUAAAUAGAUUUUUCUUUCCCGAGGAAAUUUAAAAUGAGGGAAAUUAAUGUUCUAGAAUUUGUAAACUAACACGACGCAAUAUUUGCAAAUCUGUGUCAUCUGUUAAGAUUAUGAUGUGGAACAGAGUUCCAUCUGGUAAGAUUUCGUAACCCUUGGGAUCUCAGACAAAACUGAUUAUGUCGGCGGUGUUCUAUAUAAACCGUCGUGGUUAUUUCAAUUCUUGUCAUUAAGUAGAUCUACCGACGUAGGAUAAGAAAAUCAAAGAAAAAAAUUGUUAACAAAAAUUCUUAUUAAGACGACCGUUAAAAUUAAAGGUACGACGUAUAAAAUGAAUAAAUACGACGAUAAAUUUUAUUGUACGAUUUAAAGAUAACGUAGUAGAACUAUACGAGAAUGACGUCGAUAUAUUUAUAUUUUCCGUCGUUGUAAAUUAAUUUAAUACGGCGAUAUUUUGUAUUUUAAAGCCGUGGAUUUGUUUGUAAUUAUACGGCGUCUUAUACGAAAACCUCGUCGUGUUAUUUUAUGAGUAAAAACGGCAGUUUUUAUUGAAAUCGUCGUCUUUACUUUCUACGUCGGUCGAUUCAUAACUUCUGCCGUUCUUUGUUGGCAUUGAUUUUACACUGAGGAAAUCUGUUUCAAAUAGACGUCGGUUGUUUAAUUAUGUACGUCGUUGUUUUUGAACAGCCAUUUGAAACUCCAUUUUUUAGUUGUCUAAGGUUGUAUUACACGACGGUGUUUUUAGAACCGUCGUCUUUUUAUAAACCACGACGGUUUUCACUUAGACCGUCGUUGUUUUCUGGUCGUCUUUUUCACUUUUUGUAGUAGUGAUAGCUACCCUCAGGAUGACAAAACAAGCUUAUUUACAUGCCCUGGCGGGACGAACUAUAAGGUUGUGUUCUGCCCAUGAAGAAGCAGAUACAUCUUCUAGUUUAUAAUAUCUAUGAAUAAGUCUGAUGCAAUAAAAUUAGUUUGAGGGCUUUGUCAUCAGCACAUGUAAUGGUGUGCAUUAUGUAAAACAAAGUACCUGUACUCUCUCACUCGGUUCAGACAUCAUAACGAAAUGAAAGUCUCAGUUUUUCAUUUUCUAUUGAGUAGCACCAUCUUUAAUUUCGAUCUAUUCCAUGAAAAAUGACUGAAAAAUAAAGUGAAACUCUUACGAUCAUCAGUCAUGCUUUAUUUUUCUUAAUGCUGGGGGAUUUUGCUUCAUAUAUUACCUAAUGAAUGUGAAAAUUUGGUUACCUACAUUCGAAACUAAUGUUGAAGCUCAAUGGUUUAUUAAAAAAAGGCAUAUCUUCAGUGGCCAUUCCUAGUAAAAGUAUUCAUAUAUGAAAAAGAGACCUAUAAAUGGAAAACAAUUCAGGGUGUCAGAUGCUUGAGAUCUUUAGGGAAGUUUCCUUUAGGGCCGUUUGAUAUAAUUAUUUCAAUUUUACUUUUUAGUUUUAUUUUUUGUGCUAGAGUAGUGAGGGGAAAAGAGGGAGAAUGGAAGUGAGAAUGAGAAUGAAGAUGGGAUUGAGAGGGAAGAUGAGAGGGGAGGAUGGAGGGGAAGAGUAACAAAAGUGAAAACAAAAAUUAAAAACUGAAAAUCUAUUUGGAAUUGUUUUCACUUCCAAGUUUUUGUUUUCACUUUUGUUACUCUUCCCUCCCAUCCUCCGCUCUCAUUCUCUCUCCCAAUCUCAUUCUUACUCUCACUUUUCUCUAUACUCUACCACUAAAAAAAAAAACUAAAAACUAAAAUUGAAAUAGUCAUCAUACGAGCCCUUAUUUUCUUUGGUUUAUUUUUCAGAUUUUAGAGUGUUUUGGUUCUAUCUCUUUUGGAACGCAAUUGUCCCUUCACCGUUUGGGCAGCAAAGUAUUGCAAACUUUGACUAUAAUAUUCCAUUAAUUGUAAUAAUAAUAAUAAUAAUAAAUAAGGCACAAGUCUGAUUCCUAGAAAUUCUCUUAUGGUCUUCGAGAUUUCUAUAGCAAAUUGGAUAAACCCCAUCACUGCUGGCUGUGCUCUGUGCUCUCUUAGUCAAGUCCAUACUUUUUUUUUGUUUGCAGUAUUGACAAAUUUGUAUGUUUACUUUUGCGCAUCAAGCCAAAAACAAAUCUGAACAUAAAUUAUGUAUACAACUCUAUCGAUCUAUUGUAGAAUUGUUCUGCGGACCCAAACUGCAAAAAAAUAUUGGUUCUGUUAAUGAUGAAACUAUAGUCUUCAAUUUUUUAGAAUUAGAAGAAAAACUAAUAGAUCAAUUAUCAUCUCGAUAUAUUGUUAAUAUCGACAUCAUCAAUAGUAUUCCAUUAUAUUAAUAGUAAAUAAUUUUAGUCUUCAUAUCACAUAAGUAUUGAUAAUAAUAAUCCUAUUUGAGAACGAUGUAUGAAACUAAAUACAUCUUAGUAAAAAGUAAGGAUUUUUAAGGCCCUUAAUAUUCCUAGUCCAAAAGAUGCCUAAGGCUAAGGGAGGGGGAGGAAGCAAGUCAAAUUCGAUUUUCUUAGUCUUCUUGUUGACUGGUCAAAAGGAAAAACUUGGUCAUAGCAAUGUAGCUUGUUGUAUACAAUGACAAUUAAUUGAAGGUGGAAAAUAAUGUAUAUGCCAAAAUAUCCAGUCUCCUUGAGAAGCUGUGGACAGAAAGCGUAUUACUAUUUCUCCCGCGUGGACUGGCCACAGAUCCCACCCAUGAGUCUUUCAUGUAUUUUGGCCGCCUGCUACUAAAUUAAUUGGACCAGUCUUUGUGAAAAGGUAUGUCUACCGACAAAAUAUCAAUGCUUACUUAGUAGGAAGUUGAAAUCUUAAAUCUUUAACCAAACAGACCCUAAAUGUGUAUGAAGCUUUUUUAAGAAUUAACAUAAUUAACUGAUGUUUCAGACUCGGAUAAAUUCAAUAUAAUUUCCUUUUUUUUUAGACACAUAUUAUAUUUUGUAUUUUUUGUAUGAUAUAAUAGGGCCAAAAGAGACACAUUCAUGCUUGAUGUCUUAUUGGAUAGGGAUGAUUAGCAACUCCAUACAAAUGUAGCUAAACUUGUCUAAUUGAUUUAAUUUCGUAGAAUAAAAUUACACAUCAUUGAUUUAAUUUGCUUGCUUUUUUUUUUUUCUUCCUUGUGGAAAAAAGGGAAAGUGAAGAAGAAAUUUCUCUUUCCUUUCCAUGUGCAGUAGUGGACAUAGACUAGAAAAUAAAGAAAAUGACCUAAGAAAGGGAUGCCAUUUAAUUUCGUGAUACAGUUCUUCUUUGGUCUAUACAAUUAACCUCAUGAAUAUAGCAUCUUUACAAUUCAAUUCCAAAAUGAGCCUGCUGCUCAUCAGAAAAAACCUCUCAUCAGUUUUCCCCAUCCUAUUGAUCAUCAUCACCCUUUUCGUUGCAACCGUUCAUGCAACACGUUUCGAAGUCCGAAACCAAUGCCACUUCACCGUGUGGGCAGCCUCCAGACCCGGCGGUGGGAAGCAGCUUCUUCCAGGCCAAACUUGGUCCUUCGACGUGAACACGGGUACUUUCCCUGCCCAAAUUUGGGGACGGACUGGGUGCAGCUUCAACGAAGCUGGACGCGGCAAAUGUUUAACAGGUGAUUGUGGAGGUCACCUCAAAUGCCAAGAUUUUGGUCAACCGCCAUACACCAUGGCUGAAUAUCACCCCCAACAAUUUGACUUAGAUUUUUUGGAUAUUUCUCUGGUUGAUGGGUUUAAUCUUCCUAUGGAAUUUAGUCCCACGGGUGGUGGUGAUUGCAAGGGGAUUCGAUGCGCGGCUGAUAUAAACGGGGAGUGCCCUCUUGAUUUGAGGGCACCCGGUGGGUGCAACAACCCCUGCAAUGUCUUCAAUACUGAUCAAUAUUGUUGCAAUUCCACCAGAUGUGGCCCUACGAGCUACUCCAGGUUUUUUAAGGCUCGGUGCCCUGAGGCUUACACUUACCCUCUCGACAGUGACGCCACGUUUACAUGCCCUGCUGGCACUAACUAUAUGGUUCUCUUCUGCCCAUGAUUUAUUGAAUUAACGACAGGUCUUGAAUUUUUGAAGGCCGGAGCAGCGAAGUGUACUAAUUUUGUUUUUGUCUUUUCAGGAUAAUCCAUUGUCUUGUUAGUAUAUUUUUUGUUUUCAAGAACCCCUUGAUGUGGAUAUGUGCCUUACUAUCCGUGAGGCACACAUCCAUUAAUAAAAGUUCCACCCUAUUAUAGUUUUCAUAAUCCUAACUUUCACUUUAUAUCUUAUUAUUUGUGUUUUUUUAUGCAGUAAAUUUUAUAUUUAUUUCUGUUAAUGUAGAAUCUUUAUUUUCAAUGAAUAUAGCAUUUAAACCCUAAUUUUUCAACAAUGUCGGCCUCAAAUCCCUUCGCAAUUAAAGGUGAAACUGGAGAAAAAACGACCCACACCACAAAUAGAGGGCAGAAAUAUUGCAUGCAAUUAAGGGUGGAAGAAUAUUCCAAAAUAUCAUAUGUCUCCUUGCGAAUAUAGGGGAGGACUUUUUUUCAGUGUGGACUGACCAUCGAUAUCGACCCAUGAUAUAUAAUAUAUCACAACAAUUUAUAGGGUUGACCCAUAUAUUGUGCCAGCCUGCUGCUAAAUUUAACUGGACCGGCGUUUCUCAAAGCUCAAUAUAAAUCUGUGUGCAUUAUCUUGUCAACCUAUGAAUCAAAACGACAUAUUUACACAACAAUUAGCAUAUAAUUGGAAAUUAGAAAUAUUUAACAACCCAAGUAUUUGGUAAAAAGAGGCAGCUUAAUUUAGAAAUAUUUAACAGUUUGUGAGUCAUGAACCUCAAAGUACGUAUCUUCCACGAUUUCGGUUUUGGCGAAAAGUCUUGGUCUUCUGGAAAGAAUGGACAAUAAGAAACUGUCCAGCAAUUUCAAUGUGUGAAACGAAGACUUCUUCUUUGCCUACAUAUUCCGUGCCCAUUUGAUUAAAUUUGCGCAAGUCCGAUACGAGCUAGAAUUUUUCUUAUCUUUGUUGAGACUUUUGUUAAUGUUGAUCAGUGGAUAUUUACAAUUGGACAGUGGAUGGGAGCCGAAAUUAUAAACGCUUUAUCACCAAACUAAAGUUUCCAACACAAAAAACCAACACCAUUGGCCUUUUCCCUUUUUCCAAUGGCAUUACUAAACUUGGUUAUAGACCUAUAGCAAACUAAUGAUGAUAGAGUAGAAUUGUAUGUGAUCGUAAGGGCAAGCGAUAAAACAAUAUACUUGAAUAUCUUCCUUGCACAAAAAAGAAAAAUUUACAAACAUCCGUUUCAUGAAACGACUCUCUUACAUAUAACUUUAUGUGCCGCUCACAUAAUACACAUGCGAGAAAGUCGUUUUAUAAACGGCCAUAAGUGCAAGUCUAAUGGCAAGAAGUUUCUUGGCUCUUUAUUGAAACUUGCUAUUGUUAGUUGGAUAAUUCUCAUCGAUACUGCCUGCUUAGUGCUCCUUAAUUUAGUCUGGUCAAUUAAUUAACAACUGGCCUAUCCCUUAAUUACGUUCAUAUCCAGCCAAACUCUAAAACUCAGCUCACCAAACUAAUUAAUGGGGUGGGUGAUCCUAAAUGCUGGCCGACUAACUUCAUCAACUUUUACAAGUCGAAGUAAACCACACCAUGUCGAAACUUGGUCAAUUUUCACCUUUUUUCUUUUUCUAAAUCAAUUGUGACAUUUAAAGAAGAUUUAAACUUAUAAAAUCUAACUUGUCUUUGGUGAGGUUUUUAUUUUUAUUUUUUAUAAUUAAUUAUUAUUAUUAUUAUUUUUUGGAGACAUGCGAUAUUGUAUUCAAGGAGAGGAAAUCGAACCUAGGAUCUCGAUGCAAAGGUAAUGCAUUUAACUACUUAAGUUACAAACCCUUUACACCUCCUUUUUGGUGGUUAAUGAAUAGCUAUGUUAACAAUCUUGAACUAUAUUUUCCGUUUAUAAAUAAAGAGGAAUUCAAAUUUAGAAUAUGUUCUAAUAUUGUAUUUAAUGGUGUUUUUCGUUACACAAUUUUUGCUUAAUCAUAUCUUGUCUCAUAACUGACUUAAUUUGUAAAAUAAAAUUACAUGUGCGACAUUACCUACUCCCCGUGGAAAAAGUCUCUCCUCAUUUUUUCUGAUCUUGUGAAAAAAAGAAGAAGAAGAAAUAUUGGUCCUAUUUCCAUGCGUGGAACAAUGAGCUAAGAAAAGUGACGUCCUUUUCAUAUUUAUAAUAUGUCACAUAUGUCGCCAUGCCCUGCUCUAUAUAAGCUUUAGAAACCUUAACAACAAAUGCAUAAAAAAACAAAUUGCAUUAUGAGCAUCCUCAAGACUCUCCCAGCCUUCUGCAUCCUAUGUGCCACUCUCUUCUUUGCAUCAACCAACGCAGCUCGAUUCAAUAUCCGAAACAACUGCCCCUUCACAGUCUGGGCAGCAGCCACGCCAGGCGGCGGACUCCAACUUAAUAGAGGCCAAAGUUGGGCCCUAGAUGUGCAUGCCGGAACCCAAAGGGCUCGCAUUUAAAUUUGGGCCCGAACCGGAUGAAGCUUUGAUGGAGCCGGAUGUGGGAGAUGUCAAACAGGUGAUUGUGGGGGUGUCCUCCAAUGCCAACGCUACUACAUUUUACACUUUGCGCGACGAAUUUUAACGCGACAGAAACUUCGUCGCGCAAAGAUUGUGAAGAAAGACUUUGCGCAACGAAAAAAUAUUGGUCGUGCAAAGUAACUUUGCGCGACGAAAAAAUAUUGGUCGCACAAAACUUAGCGCGACGAAACACAUUGGUCGGGCAAAGGUUUGCGCGACGAAACACAUUGGUUGCGCAAAGGUUUGCGCGACGAAACACAUUGGUCACGCAAAGGUUUGAGCGACGAAAAAUAUUUGUCGCGCAAAGUCUCAAAAAAAUUUAUAAAAAAAUAAAAAAUUCCCGCUUCCCAUUUUUGGUACCCGCCUACAUUUUUAGAGUUUUGCGCGAUGAAUACUAACGUCGCGCAAAUAUUUGCGCGACUAAAUAUUUUUUGUGUUUUAAAUUUUUUUAAUUAAAAUAAACUAAUUUAAUAGUUUGCUCUACAAAAUAUUUUGUCGCGCAAGGUUUUUGACUUUUUGUUUUAUUAUUUUUUUAAUAUUAAUUUAUUUAUAUUAGUUUAUUCAAAUUUUUACUUUUUAAAUUUAAUUUAAUUGUAUGAUUUUUUUUAAAUCACUUUAAUUUAAGUUGAUAUUAAUUUUUUCGAAUUUUUACUUUUUAAAUUUAAUUUAAUUGUAAGAUUUUUCUUAAUUACUUUAAUUUAAAUUGACAUAUUCAAAAUAAAAUUACAUAUUAAAAAUAGUGAUCAAAUUAUCCAAUAAAUAUAUAUAUAAUAUUCAAAAUGUACACAUAAAUUAACAAAGUACAAUAAUAAAAUCCUAAUACAAGAGUAUUGUGGUGGUAGUGGCGGAUGAUAUGUUUUGAUAGCUUCCUAAUCCUCAACUUUAGCCAUCAAAGUCUUGAUGAUUACCUACAAAAAAAACAAAUAUGGUCAAAUAACAACAAAAAACAAGAAAAAAGAAUGCAUAAUCUCCCCUAAAAUUGUUAUACCAAAAAUCCAACCCAAACUCCAAUCUCUCCCCUUUACUCAACCCCAAACCCCACACAAACUCAAAACUAACUCCAAAAACACAUAUUAAUGAAAAAAAUUUAAAAUUUGGAGAGAAUAUACCUUUUGGCAAGAUUGAGAGUGAGUGAGAAUGAGAGGGAGAAGUGAGUGUGAGAGAAGUAGAUAAGAUAGUGAUAGAGAGAUGAGAGAGUGAGAGAUAGUGAAAAGAUAGAUGAGAGAGUGAGUGAGAGUGAGAGAUAGUGAAGAGAGAUAUGAGGGAAAGAGAGAGGAGAGGUAAGAGUAGAGAAAGACAUUGAGAAAAUGGUGGAGGAGUUAUUUUGGUUUUAAAAAUCGUAUCACUUUGCGGGACGAAAAAUAUUGCUGGUCACGCAAAGUUUUGCUCGACGAAUAUAGGAAUAUUGGUCGCGCAAAGUCUAAAAAAAUUAUUUUUUUUUUAAAAAUUUCCCGCAUCCCACUUUUGGUUCCCGCCAAAAUUUAACUUUGCGCGACGAAAAAUACAUAUUGGUCGCGCAAAGUCUAAAAAAAUUAUUUUAAAAAAAAAAAAUUUCCCGCAUCCCAUUUUUGGUACCGCCAAAAUUUAACUUUGCGCGACGAAUAUAGGAAUAUUGGUUGCGCAAAGUCUAAAAAAAAUUAUUUUUUUUAAAAAAAAAUUCCCGCAUCCCAUUUUUGGUACCCGCCAAAAUUUUUAAAUUUUUGCGCGACGAAAAGUACAUAUUGGUCGCGCAAAGUCUAAAACAAUUAUAUAAAAAAAGUCCCGCGUCCCAUUUUUGGUACCGGCCAAAUUUUUGCGCGACGAAAAAUAUAUAUUGGUCGCGCAAAGUUUUGAGGGACAAAAAAUAUUGGUCGUGCAAAGUCUAAAGUUUUUUUUUAUUUUAAAAACCCGCGUCCCAUUUUUGUUACUCGCACAAAUUUUUUGAGUUUUGCACGACGAACUGUUGGUCGCGCAAACUUUUGAGAGACAAAAAAUUGGUUCGUAGCACAAUAUUUAUAAAAAUAAUUGUUUUGAAUAAGAAAAAAUAAAAAAAAUUAUUUUAUGAUUUAAAAUAUAAUUAAGGUGAAAGCUACUUAAUAAAUGUAUAUACUAUUCAAUUUCUUAAGUGUUAUACGUACAAAAUAAAUAAAUUUAAAACUACUUAAUAAAUAUAUAUAUAUAUACACACACACACCAUUCAACGAUCCAACCGUAAGACUUGUUUGUAUAUACUUCAAGAUCGUAUACCCCAAAAAUUGCAAAAAAUAAAUAUUCAGAGAUCUAGUAACGGGACAAAACUUUUCGAUAGUUAUAAAUGAAAAAUCACGAUUUAACGGUUAUUUUGACUCCGAUUUUGAUGAUUUUUUUACAGGUACACUCCUUGACCCUAUAUGAAUACAAUGACUGAAUUUGAUCUUCAAUUUAAAACAUUUGCACUAGUGGAUACCACAAAAUCUUAUGUUAUAUUUAACGAAAGUAUAAAUAAUUAAUUGUUAGUGAAUAUAUUGUUUUGAUGGUAUAUGCAUUCUAGAAACUAGUUUCAACGAUCCAACCGUCAAACUUGUUUUUUUAUACUUCGAGAUCAUAUACGCCAAAAAUCGGAAAAAAUAAACAUUCAUAGAUCAAGUAAUGGACAAAACUUUUCGACGGUUAUAAAUAAAAAAUCAUGAUUUAACGGUUAUUUUAACUCCGACUUUGAUGAUUUUUUAUAGCUACACUCCUUGACCCUAUAUGAAUACAAUGACUGAAUUUGAUCUUCAAUUUAAAAUAUUUACACUAGUGGAUACCACAAAAUCUUAUGUUAUAUUUAACGAAACUAUAAAUAAACUCUUAAUUGUUAGUGAAUAUAUUAUUUUGAUGGCAUACACAUUCUACGAAAUUAGUUUUAACGAUCCAACCGUCAAACUUGUUUGUUUAUACUUCGAGAUCAUGUAUGCCAAAAAUCGGAAAAAAUAAGCAUUCAUAGAUCAAGUAACGGGACAAAAAUUUUCGACGGUUAUAAAUGAAAAAUCAUGAUUUAAUGGCUAUUUUAACUCCGAUUUUGAUGAUUUUUUACAGCUACACUCCUUGACCCUAUAUGAAUACAAUGACUGAAUUUGAUCUUCAAUUUAAAAUAUUUACACUAGUGGAUACCACAAAAUCUUAUGUUAUAUUUAACGAAAGUAUAAAUAAACUCUUAAUUGUUAGUGAAUAUAUUGUUUUGAUGGCAUAUGCAUACAAAAAAACUAGUUUCAACGAUCCAACCGUCAAACUAGUUUGUUUAUACUUCGAGAUCAUAUACGCUAAAAAUCGGAAAAAAUAAACAUUCAGAGAUCAAGUAAUGGGACAAAACUCUUCGACGGUUAUAAUGAAAAAUCACGAUUUAACUGUUAUUUUAACUCCGAUUUUGAUGAUUUUUUAAAGCUACACUCCUUGACCCUAUAUGAAUACAAUGAACUAAUUCGAUCGUCAAUUUAAAAUAUAUAUUUUCUAACAAAAACCCAAUCCGAACAAUAAUAAUAUAUUUUUCUAACAAAAAUCCGAUCCGAUCUAAAAUAAUAAAUUUAAAGCUACUUAAUAAAUAUAUAUACCGUUUAAUUUCUUAAGUGUUAUGCAUACAAAAUAAAAAACAAAAAUAAAUUGGUUUAGGUGACAAAAUGUUUGGAUUACGUCAUGCAAAGAUUUUAAAAAAUAAUUUUUUAAUUUUAUUUAUUUUUAUAAGGACUUUGCGCGACGAAGUUUACUUUUCGUCGCGCAAAGUCACUUUGAGCGACGAAGUUUACUUUUCGUCGCGCAAAGUCACUUUGAGCGACGAAUUAUUUUUCGUCGCGCAAAAUUGGUCGCGCAAGACUUUGAGCGACGAUGUAUUGUCGUCGCGCAAAAGUUUGUCGGGCGAAGUGACUUUGCGCGACGAAUUAUUUUUCGUCGCACAAAAUUUGAUCGCCCAAGACUUUGAGUGACGAAGUUUCAAGUUUCGUCGCGCAAAGUGACUUUGAGCGACGAAUAGUUUUUCGUCGCGCAAAAUUUGGUCGCGCAAGGGGUUUUUUUUACUAGUGACAAGCCUAUGGCCAACCCCAAAACACCCUAGCUGAGUAUGCCCUUAACCAGUACAACAACUUGGAUUUCUUUGACAUUUCCCUUGUUGAUGGCUUCAACGUCCCUAUGGACUUUAGCCCCACGUCUAAUGGGUGCACCAAGGGCAUCAGACGUACCGCGCUGAUAUUAAUGGGCAGUGUCCUAACCAACUGAGGGCUCAAGGAGGCUGCAACAACCCUUGCACUGUGUUCAGGACUGAUAAAUAUUGCUGCAAUUCUGGGAGCUGUGGCCCAACAGACUUGUCUAGGUUUUUUAAGGAUCGGUGCCCGAGUGCUUAUAGCUACCCGAU